UUGGUGCCUGGGGCUUUUGCCUCGGGUGAAAAGGGAACCGGGUGGGAAUCCCGGACAGACGGCGCUGCUGUGUGCCCCAAUAAUGUUCCCGCAUUUAACCACUGCGCCUUGCGCCCUGCUACAUGGGACGGCGUGGGAAGGGAAAGUGCAAGAAGGGUAGGGGCGAGUCAGAAGACCUGCCAAGUCGCA
RNAcentral lists this non-coding RNA (189 nucleotides) under bovine gut metagenome. The record is from RNAcentral.